RNAcentral lists this ribosomal RNA (549 nucleotides) under uncultured Glomeromycotina. RNAcentral describes it as "SSU rRNA". It matches the Rfam family "Eukaryotic small subunit ribosomal RNA", at positions 548 to 1098 of the family's 1831-position model. Lineage: Eukaryota; Fungi; Glomeromycota. The record is from RNAcentral.
UUGGAGGGCAAGUCUGGUGCCAGCAGCCGCGGUAAUUCCAGCUCCAAUAGCGUAUAUUAAAGUUGUUGCAGUUAAAAAGCUCGUAGUUGAAUUUCGGGGUUAGUAGGUUGGUCAUGCCUCUGGUAUGUACUGGUCUCACUGAUUCCUCCUUCCUGAUGAGCCGUAAUGCCAUUAAUUUGGUGUUGCGGGGAAUUUGGACUGUUACUUUGAAAAAAUUAGAGUGUUUAAAGCAAGCUAACGCUUGAAUACAUUAGCAUGGAAUAAUGAAAUAGGACGUUCGAUCCUAUUUUGUUGGUUUCUAGGAUUGACGUAAUGAUUAAUAGGGAUAGUUGGGGGCAUUAGUAUUCAAUUGUCAGAGGUGAAAUUCUUGGAUUUAUUGAAGACUAACUACUGCGAAAGCAGUUGCCAAGGAUGUUUUCAUUAAUCAAGAACGAAAGUUAGGGGAUCGAAGACGAUCAGAUACCGUCGUAGUCUUAACCAUAAACUAUGCCGACUAGGGAUCGGAUGAUGUUAAUUUUUUAAUGACUCAUUCGGCGCCUUACGGGAAAC